Passer montanus (Eurasian tree sparrow) is the source of this 613-nucleotide long non-coding RNA. RefSeq lists it as uncharacterized. NCBI's taxonomy places the organism in Eukaryota, Metazoa, Chordata, Aves, Passeriformes, Passeridae. The record is from RefSeq and is a predicted model, not a curated record. The transcript has 6 exons.
CCGGCACUCAGGCCACCCUCAGGCUCUGGCAGGAGCUGUUCCAGAGCAGUCUCCAGCCAGUAGCAAACUCUUUGUGAAGAGUGUCCAGGCAGUGCCCCAUGAAGAGCUGCUGCAUUCAGGUCUAAGUUGAUAUUGCUCCUUCUGCUGAAGUGACAGCUCCUGGGUGAUGUGUGGCACUGCACAGCCAAGAAAUCUGCAUGCAGGAUGCGUUUUCUCCAGCACCACAGUUAACCACAAAGAGAUUUAGCAGAAUCUCUGAAUGUAUUUAUGUAUUUGGAAACCUGUUUUACCAAAAAUAUUUGAAUCUGAAAUGUGUGAUUCGUAUCCCAGCAAACUGACAUGCUCAAGGACAGCAUGGCCCAAAUGUACAGGAACCAUGGCACAGAUGCAGGUGAACCUAUUCAUAUGUGCCUGGGAAGUGUCAGACUUCUGGCCCCGAGCUCUGCUUUGGAAUACAGAGUGGAUCUACCUUUUGAGCUCUUGGGCUCUUAAGUCUGGACAUCACCUUUGACUCUGUGUUGCCAACUAAAUUAGGACAAAAAUAAAGGGGAAGGGAAGUUGGAACUCUACUGGAAGUAUGGAAUGGCACAUCCUAAAAAUAGAAGUGUAACAG